UCCUCACUCUUUCUUCGUGCUUAACACAUGCAAGUCGAACGGAAAGGCCCUGCUUUUGUGGGGUGCUCGAGUGGCGAACGGGUGAGUAACACGUGAGUAACCUGCCCUUGACUUUGGGAUAACUUCAGGAAACUGGGGCUAAUACCGGAUAGGAGCUCCUGCUGCAUGGUGGGGGUUGGAAAGUUUCGGCGGUUGGGGAUGGACUCGCGGCUUAUCAGCUUGUUGGUGGGGUAGUGGCUUACCAAGGCUUUGACGGGUAGCCGGCCUGAGAGGGUGACCGGCCACAUUGGGACUGAGAUACGGCCCAGACUCCUACGGGAGGCAGCAGUGGGGAAUAUUGCACAAUGGGCGGAAGCCUGAUGCAGCAACGCCGCGUGCGGGAUGACGGCCUUCGGGUUGUAAACCGCUUUCGCCUGUGACGAAGCGUGAGUGACGGUAAUGGGUAAAGAAGCACCGGCUAACUACGUG
Molecule: ribosomal RNA, 468 nt
Filed under: uncultured bacterium
Lineage: Bacteria
Description: partial 16S ribosomal RNA
Rfam family: Bacterial small subunit ribosomal RNA
Source: RNAcentral